GUCCCUGUAGCGCAAUGAAUAGCGCGUUGGACUUCUAAUCCAAAGGUCGUAGGUUCUAAUUCUACCUGGGAUG
This 73-nucleotide transfer RNA is filed under the name Trichonephila inaurata madagascariensis. It matches the Rfam family "tRNA". Rfam says of the family: Transfer RNA (tRNA) molecules are approximately 80 nucleotides in length. Their secondary structure includes four short double-helical elements and three loops (D, anti-codon, and T loops). Further hydrogen bonds mediate the characteristic L-shaped molecular structure. tRNAs have two regions of fundamental functional importance: the anti-codon, which is responsible for specific mRNA codon recognition, and the 3' end, to which the tRNAs corresponding amino acid is attached (by aminoacyl-tRNA synthetases). tRNAs cope with the degeneracy of the genetic code in two manners: having more than one tRNA (with a specific anti-codon) for a particular amino acid; and 'wobble' base-pairing, i.e. permitting non-standard base-pairing at the 3rd anti-codon position. The record is from Rfam by way of RNAcentral. Lineage: Eukaryota; Metazoa; Arthropoda; Arachnida; Araneae; Nephilidae.